Non-coding RNA from Pelobates cultripes (western spadefoot toad), 233 nucleotides. Lineage: Eukaryota; Metazoa; Chordata; Amphibia; Anura; Pelobatidae. The record is from the annotation of a GenBank genome assembly.
CUGAGGUACAAUUCAUGUUGCCUGGAGGCAUGAUGCCACCAAUAUUUGUCCAAAACUAUUUUAGAAAACACAUUCAAUAUGUACUGAAUAAUGGUGAAAUAAGGCUUUGUUCUACACAGAAUGUGCAUAUUCACUUCAAAGACACCAGCCAUCCAUUCUAGGAAAUAAUAUUGUUAUAGUUUGUAUAUAUGUGGUUGCUUUGAUGUGGCCCUCAAUUUUUUUUUCAAUUUUAA